CUUAACUGACUUUCUCUAGUCCUCUUUAUUAAAUGACUGACUGCUCUGUCAUUGUGUUUUUAUCAAUUACCACUCACUUCUUAGGCAGUGAGCACCAAAAUCUAUUGUUUUUGACAUUAUAAUCAUGUCUCCAUGCUGCGCUGCAGAGAAAGCUCAUUGGAAAAAUGCAGAGUUCUUUAUCUUAAUGUCUUGCUUUUUUCUUCUGGGCAGAACUCCUGUACCACUUCACUGGAGUGGGUAGUGAAGAUCGGCUCUUCCCAGAGCAACACCUUCAACGUGCAAGGGGGAGCUCAUUAGGGGAGUAGAGCUUGUGUCUUGGUUUGUCGUUUCUUCUUUUACUUUUAGUGCAAGAUAGGUGGAAAGCAAUUUAAGCCCCGGUAUUCUUGUCUUGGUGCAUGUGAAGCAGAGCUCCUGCCAUGAAAACUGGAGGAACAGAUCUGAAAGGCCACCGCUUCCUGAAAACUGCAAGGGUAGAGACAAGCUGCGGGACUACGCAUGACAUAACCUCAGGACUCUGUGAAAGUAUGAGACGAAAUUCAUCUGCAAGGAAAGUCAGCAAAAUGCACAUCUGACUUAAUGAGGAGGCAGAGCUCGGAAAAAUGUAUAAAGCUAAUACUCAGGGAAAGUGAAGAAAGCAGAUGAGGCAAAAAGAAUGCACAUGGAAAUGAACAGACAAUUAGCCCAAGAAUGGGUCAGUAAACAACUACAGGAGGCAAAGUGCAAUAAAGAGUCAAGAAUAGAAGUGAAACAUUACUGAAAUCACACCCUACUAGAAUCUGCCUGGACUGGAGGCCAGUGAGGCUAUUUAAGUGAUGCCUUAGAAGACUCCCUUAUGAUAGUUUGAC
This is a long non-coding RNA of Chinchilla lanigera (long-tailed chinchilla), 845 nucleotides long. RefSeq lists it as uncharacterized. NCBI's taxonomy places the organism in Eukaryota, Metazoa, Chordata, Mammalia, Rodentia, Chinchillidae. The record is from RefSeq and is a predicted model, not a curated record. The transcript is spliced from 3 exons.